Long non-coding RNA from Antechinus flavipes (yellow-footed antechinus), 458 nucleotides. RefSeq lists it as uncharacterized. The record is from RefSeq and is a predicted model, not a curated record. Lineage: Eukaryota; Metazoa; Chordata; Mammalia; Dasyuromorphia; Dasyuridae. The transcript has 2 exons.
ACGUGGGACUCCACCCCGGGUGCCACAUACCUUCUCCACUGCUCUUCCGAGACCUCCGUGGUGUCCCGGGACCAAGAGGACCAGAAGCUUCCAGGACUGCUGCUGUUUCAGAGUGUAAAUGCUCAAACAUGGGACUCGAAGACACAUCCUUUAAACAACACUGGAACAGCCCAUGCUGGGGAGUCAGUGUGCCAUAGCAAAUGAGUCCCUGGACCGGGAGUUUGGAGACCCUGCAAGACCUCUACUACCAGCUGAUUGUGUGACUGGAUAAUCCACUCCCUUUCUCAAGGCCUCAAAUUCCACAUAUGCAGAAUGGAAGGGCUGCACUGAAUCUUUUGAGUCCUCUGCGAUCUUUUGAAAGUUAAUACUUGAAGCCCUGUCCAUUUGAAAUGUUAUUCCUAACUCUUUAUUUUUAUUCUCUGUUUUGUCUCCCCAAUUAAACUACAAGCUUCCAUACA